GCCCUGGUGGUGGAAUUGGUAGACACAAGGGAUUUAAAAUCCCUCGGCGUUCGCGCUGUGCCGGUUCAAGUCCGGCCCGGGCCG
Molecule: transfer RNA, 84 nt
Filed under: Vibrio kanaloae
Lineage: Bacteria; Pseudomonadati; Pseudomonadota; Gammaproteobacteria; Vibrionales; Vibrionaceae
Description: tRNA-Leu
Rfam family: tRNA
About the family: Transfer RNA (tRNA) molecules are approximately 80 nucleotides in length. Their secondary structure includes four short double-helical elements and three loops (D, anti-codon, and T loops). Further hydrogen bonds mediate the characteristic L-shaped molecular structure. tRNAs have two regions of fundamental functional importance: the anti-codon, which is responsible for specific mRNA codon recognition, and the 3' end, to which the tRNAs corresponding amino acid is attached (by aminoacyl-tRNA synthetases). tRNAs cope with the degeneracy of the genetic code in two manners: having more than one tRNA (with a specific anti-codon) for a particular amino acid; and 'wobble' base-pairing, i.e. permitting non-standard base-pairing at the 3rd anti-codon position.
Source: RNAcentral